UUACUUUGGGAGCACAUAUGUUGAAACUGGAAUGGUACAGACAAGAUUACCAUGAGACCUGGACAGGAAUGACCCUGAGCAAAUUUGUGAAACGUUCCAGUUUUAA
Molecule: small nuclear RNA, 106 nt
Filed under: Cavia porcellus (domestic guinea pig)
Lineage: Eukaryota; Metazoa; Chordata; Mammalia; Rodentia; Caviidae
Source: RNAcentral